This is a long non-coding RNA of Lagopus muta (rock ptarmigan), 5156 nucleotides long. RefSeq lists it as uncharacterized. NCBI's taxonomy places the organism in Eukaryota, Metazoa, Chordata, Aves, Galliformes, Phasianidae. The record is from RefSeq and is a predicted model, not a curated record. The transcript has 5 exons.
UGUUGGGCGUGGGAGAGCGUUGUGUGUGCGGGGCUUCGACGGUGUGCGAGGGGAAGCGAUGGAAGCUGCUGUGCCUCGGGGGCAGCUGUGGAGGAGCUGCUCCUGAGCGUGCUGAGCCAUGCUGGCCUUGGGAGGUGUUCAGCUGGGGGCUGUAAGGCAGGAGCUGCUGUCUGUUGGCUGAGUGAAGGGCCUUCCUGAGCUGCACCGAGUGCUGCCCCUUCCCUCCUGCUGCAUGGGGAGCCUUGCCCUGCUCCUCAUCCCUGUGAGGACCUCUUGGGGUCUUGUGCUUUGGCUCCUGUAACACUCAGCUUAUAAACUUUACUGGCCACGAGGCUUCGUGAGCUGAAGCAUGCCAAGUCAGGCAUGUGUCUCAUGGGGAGAUGAGCUUUGAGGUACGGCUCUGCUGCUCCUCGUUGUGAGUUUAAUUUCUGGUCUGAAAAAAAUCUGUAAGCAACUGCAGGGGAAAAAGGUGAGCUGUGUCCAGGAUGGCUUUGUAGUGAAUGAAUGGAGCUAAUCCCAUCUCCGUCUCUGGCAGUGUAACAGCUUGCAGAUAAGGAUAAGGCAACGUGUGUCAUAUGCCUUGAUUUUUAGUGGAACUUCUGAUGUUGUUUUGCGGGAUUUUCUAAUAAUAAACUGAAAAACCAGUCUACGUGAUACUGCUUUAGCAGGGUUGCAGAUCUAGUUGUGGAAAAAUGUACUUGGUAUCAGCACUUGUCUGGGGAACUACCUUCAGUCCAUUACUCAUCCACAACGAAACAGGCCUUGUAAUUACUGUGUUUGAAGAUGAGGUCAAGUUUGAGCUUGUAUGAAUGCACUGCCAGAGAACUGGAAUGCAAAACGGGGAGCUCUAUGGAUAAAAGUAACAGGUGUAGUACUGUAUACUUCAUAAUUGUGGAGCUGAUUGUAUUGCAGGAAAGGAUGGAGGGGCUGCUGUGGGCUGUAAGCUGAAUGAGUAUCAACGGCUUGCUGUUGGAGAGGUGAAUGCCAUGAAGGUCUCUGUGAGUAAGAAAACUGCUAAUAAGGCACAGGCAUCCUGCUAUGCUGAGCUGUGCUACAACAGUGUGUCCAGUACUGGGCUCCACGUGAGAGAAAUUUGUAUGAUUUAGAGAAAGAGGUAGAAGUAACGAUCCGUCUUUGAACACAUGACUUUUACAGAGCCAGAGAGAACAGAAAGCCGCAGACGUGGUUAGUCUUCAAAUAGAUGAAAGGAUGCUGCCAUGAAGAAAGGGACAGUUUGUUCUCUCGUGUCCACUGGGGGUAGGGUGAGGAGCCAUAAGCUAAAAUAACAGCAAGGCAGAUCUAGGUUACAGUGAAAAAAUGUUCCGUGAUUCUUCUGAACCAGUCGAGCAGUGUUAGACUGACUAGGCAAGGUAUGGGCUGUUCUUAGAGGUUUUAAGAAUAGAUCAGACAAAUAUUUCUCACGGUGGGUGAAGUACAGUAUAAGAGCUUGCAUUCAGGAAGGAGACUUUGCUUAAUGGGCUCCUAACCCAGUGUUACUGUGGUUCUGUAGCCCUGAGAUAUGUAAUCGUUGCAGCCCUUGUUGGCUUAACGAUAAAACUAGUUCAGCUGCACAGAUUAAAGAUGCUCAGCUGGGCCAAGUGACAUUACGUAACGGGAAUGAAAUGGCGUUUAAGCAUGGCUUUAUGUUUUCAAAAUGAUUUUCACCAGAUGGGGUGAAAGUAUCUAAAUGAGGAGCUCUGCAGAGCUUUUAAGCAUUAAAGGCUAAGGCCUCAUCUUCAGCAUAGCUUUCCAGAGAGUGUCCCACCUUUGUUCCUGUGGUAUGGCUGAUGCAAUUAAACUCUGGUAAUCCAGAAAGGAUGCCAGUGUUUUUGAGAUUUAAGGCCUUGCAAGCCAAAUCAAAAUGAUUUUAAUAAAAGUAGUUUAGGUCAAUACGACCUUAAGAUAUAUCUGGGGGGAACAAAAAAAAAAAAGAGCUGGGACAUUGUUUUCAUUCUUUUUUUUAACAGCAAGGGCACACAGUUGGUAACAGCUGCUCAAAAAGUGGGUUGCAAUAUAUACAAAGAGGUAUUUGCAGAUCAUAGUGCUUAGUUUGAGAAGCCUUCUAGAAGUGUGUUAUUCACCCCAGUAUCUGAAAGCAGCAAUUUCUGGCACUGAAUGUUAUAUUGCAUCUGAUGCUUAACAGGGGGAUGAGAAAGGCCAUUUUUUCCUAAUUGAAUGCUCUGCCUUUCUAGACCUGCCAUUUAGAUCACAGUUUAUCAAGAUCGAUUUUUAUCAGGAAUACUCUUGAAUUAUGAGGAGUGCUUUCCUUUAGGUCAAAUGGAGUCACCAACUGAAAUAACUGCAAAUUCGGCAAUUUUAAGCUUGAAAAGUCAAUGUAUCUGAUUGUCCUAUUUUGUUUUUGUUGUGUUUUUUUUUGGGGGGGUUGUUUGUUUGUUUGUUGCAACUUAAUACAAUGUUAUGUGUGACAACUGUUAGAACUUCACAUAAUUUGUGCAACUGUUGUAAUACAAAAUAAGAAGGAAGGCAGACUGCUUGCAUAUUGAUCAGACUCACUGAGUGGUCUUCUUGCAUACUGGCUUUCUAGAUGAUGAUAAGCUCAAUGCUAACUGCUUUCUGCUCCUUGUGUUGGGAGCCUCCAUGCUCAAGCUGGUAGGUCUGGGGCUCCAAGUGCCCACCUUUAGAGCUAAGUGUCCAGGUGUGCAAUGCUCAGCUGUGCCUGCCCUGCUGUUAGCCUGCCUUCCAGAGAUUCUAUGCUUGAAUGCACUUGUUGCAGUUGUCCAAGCAGUGCUGGUGAAUAACAGCAAUGAUGGUGAUGGUGUUUGGAUGGUGGUAGUGUUUUACGCUGGCUGCUGCAGAAAAUUGGCUCCACUAGAAAAGAAAUAGUGGCAGUAUUUGUUGCUUUUUCUUUUUAGGUUGACAGUGAAAUUGUACACAGGUGUUUUAAACACUCUCAUUCGAGACAUUCACUAGGAGCCAGUCCUGCUAUUUCCUGAGCAUGUCUUCACAACCAGCAAAAUCUCACGUCCUGCAGCCUGUGCUCUGCUGCCACAGGAGCUGUGCCCACCUCCCAGGCUGUCAGUUUGCUUCUGUGCUUCUCCAUCAUCCUGUUGCAGCACCUCCUGACAUCAGGUUUGAGCACCAUCCUGGUACACUGUUUUGCUGUCACACUGUGAACAAUCUCAAUAUUUUUUUUUUCUGUACAAUAACCUUUAUUAAGACUUUGCAUUGCAACUAUUAUCAAGAGGAAUUAUUUUCAAGAGAGAGCCCAGAUCCCACUUUCUAUCUUACAGUCCCAGACCUGUCAGUGCAGGUAUUUCUCAAGUACUGAUGGUGUCUUCUGUCACUCAGGGUAUACUUGAGAACCAUACUUUCAGUUGCUGAGAUCUCAUACAGAUAGUUCUUCCAUCUGCAUGUUGUUGCGUGCUUUCUGUCCUCUAGUUUCUUUCCUGUGUAGCCGUCUUUGUUAUCUCAAGCCUGUUAGUGCAGUUUUGCUAUGUACCAUGCCCCCCAGAUUAGAUAGGCUUUUCCUUAAGAGAGAUUCUUCCUGUACAAUUGUGGUGCCCUUGAGAAGAUGCCCUUAUUGAUCAUCCCUUUUGGAAGCAUUAGGGUGCUGCUUAUUAGCCCUUUCUGUUUUACAUUGGUGGAAACCCCCCUGUAGCAACCAAUUGCCAUUUCAGAAUUUAUCUCCGUGUACAAACAGGUUUGUGGAGUACCUACGUUGAGAACACACCUGUUUUCCUCAUCUCUUUUCCACACCCUUUUCUGCUCUAGUAAGUUCAUGGCAGAUGGCUUCAAACACGAGCUUCAACUUCCGUAGCUGUUCCUGAGCCACUGACAUGGUGGAAGAGAAGUUUGGCACUUGGGUAUCUCUCCAGAAGCGAGCCCUUUGCUGGCUGAGGAUUCCUGGUGUGCAGUUAGAGCUGAUUUGGCCGUUCCACCCCUUUCUUCUGCCAUCUAGUUUGUGUAUGGUCUUCCUGUACUUGGACAGGCUUUGGUCAUCCUCCUAUUCCUGGACCAGCAAAUAUUUAACAAGAGAAAUGUUUGCACUGGAAAAAAGUGUCUUAGGAUAUGUCUGAUGUGAUCCUUCAGCAGAUUCACAAGAUACAGUUAUGUGAUGAAGCAUUGAGCAGGAGAUAUAAACAGCUGCUUCAAUUCUCAAUGUUUUCAGUUCUGCAGCUUCUCCAGCCGUUCUAGUUCUGCACACUGGUUGGUUUUGUUGUCAUCUUUUAUGGAAGAUCACCUCCUUUAGAGGCUUCUUGUGCAGACUGAAAAUUCUGCAGAAGAACGUCGUGUUUCUAUUUGGAGGAUAGCUCUGUAUCCAUUACUUAAUCUGAAAAGGAACAGCAGGAUACACAAUCACAGAAGGGAUUUGAAAUGUUGAUAUGAGGAUCAGAAAAAGAAAUAGGAAGAUGGUAUCUACCCCAGGAGUUUGGAGAUGCUCAUGCUCUUGAGUUUUGUUGCAACACAAAAAUAAAGGGUGCGUGUUGUGGUUCUGCUCCUGACGCAGCUCUUUUGCCACGCAGGAGGCUUCUGAGGAAGGAGUUUGGGAAAGCACCCACUGCUCUCUGGGCAUUCUGUGCUCCUUCCAGUUCUGUCAGUAGUGUUCUGAGGAGUUGUUCCUGCAGCUUUGCUCAUGCUGUUGCCCUCCAGCUAACUGAAAAGCGUGGAAUCAAUGUUAUCAAUAACUCUGAAGCACACAAAUCAGCAGUGGGUGUCAGAAGGGCCUGAAGUUUCAAAAGCAGACUGCAUGGGACCAUUGAAGAAACAGUCAGUUGUAAAUACACCCCAUGUGUGUUUUAGGCAAAGGUGGUCUCCAGCCCUUUCAAGCAGAAUUUCAAGUUGCUGAGCUCGUCCUCCAACACCCCUUGGCACUGCUCAGGGCAAUGCUUCCAUCACCAGGCUCUGGCUCAGUAGAACUGUCCAUCUUUGCUCUCAUCAUUUGGCCUGGGCACAGCUCAGCACCCAGCAAGUUCUCUCAUUCCUACUGAAGAGAUGGGAAUCCAGUGUUCAUCCUGCAUACCUGCUACACCUUCUGCCUCUGGGAGCAGCAGGCCUCCAUUUGCAAGAAGUGGGUUUGCUGCUUUUGUGCAGUUUAUUAAAGAUUUGGGGUUGGAUUAAAGAUUUAUUAAAGAUUUAUUAAAGAUUUGGGGGCUUGGAGAUUCAUGAUCCUUGAGCUCCCUUCCAACCUCGGCCAU